UACGUAGGGUGCCAGCGUUAAUCGGAAUUACUGGGCGUAAAGCGUGCGCAGGCGGCUUUGCAAGACAGAUGUGAAAUCCCCGGGCUUAACCUGGGAACUGCAUUUGUGACUGCAUGGCUGGAGUGCGGCAGAGGGGGAUGGAAUUCCGCGUGUAGCAGUGAAAUGCGUAGAUAUGCGGAGGAACACCGAUGGCGAAGGCAAUCCCCUGGGCCUGCACUGACGCUCAUGCACGAAAGCGUGGGGAGCAAACAGG
Molecule: ribosomal RNA, 253 nt
Filed under: uncultured bacterium
Lineage: Bacteria
Description: partial 16S ribosomal RNA
Rfam family: Bacterial small subunit ribosomal RNA
Source: RNAcentral